Molecule: long non-coding RNA, 6786 nt
Filed under: Daucus carota (carrot)
Lineage: Eukaryota; Viridiplantae; Streptophyta; Magnoliopsida; Apiales; Apiaceae
Description: long non-coding RNA (DCAR_LNC005609)
Source: RNAcentral
GAAAGAAAAACAAUUUAAAACCUGUAUUUUUGGAAGAAAGUAAAAACAAGUAUUUCUAAACCUGGAUAUUUUUUUUUUUUAAAAGAAGGUCUUUAAUUCAAAAUCAAUUUCACCCCCUGAAAACAGGAUCGCAUACAGGCUACAGCAUUGAAAUCAGAAACUAAAACUAUAAAAUCUUAUUUACAAAUUAAACAACAUUAUCAGCUAAACCUCGAUAAGAAGAGUAGCUGAUAACCAAAUAAACAAAUCUAAUUUCCAACUGAAUUGAAUUGCAGAACUCCAACUGCAUCUAGUCUUAAUGACAUCGUCCUAAAUACUCUACCUGUCCAUCUGCUUGAAACUCAACCACUUGCAAUCCUUGCCUAGUCUUAAGUGAAUCAUCUUUAUUCCUAGCUGAAAAGGGUUAGAAGGAAUAGCAAGAAUGAGCAAUAAUGCUCAGCAAGAAUAACAAAAUGAAAUUGAUAUUUGUUGUACAGCAAUGCCAUAAUAAAGAAGUGAAAAUAUUUAAAACUGCAGAAAUGAAUGUAUAAGCAAAUAUCUCUUGAAGGCAGGGUAACUUCUUUUUAAACUAUUCACAAUUUUAUUGGGCUUUAAAAAUAAUUGGACACCUGGCUAUAACAGAUGAUCAGUCAUGCUAUAGUCCAUAAACCAAGCUUAUUCAGCAAGGUUGACAAAUAUUACGAAUUCCGGUAAUCCGGGCUUAAGGAGCCACCUUUCACGCUGGGCCGGUGCCCGAGCCUCUUACGCAAAAACAACCCAAUAGUUUAAUUUUUAAAACAAUCUGCAGUUCCAUCAUGUAAUUCAAGAGCCAGAAUAACAUUUUGUUAAAACAAUUUCUUUAUGCAUAUCAUAGUGUAGAGUUGAUACCAAAAGUGUUAUCCGUUCAACCAAAAAGUUUAAAAGUACUAGAUAUGCUUCACAAGAAAGUAAUUGCAAAUAAUUUGAAUCAUGAUAUAAAGAAGGUUUUAGUAUCUAUAGGUACUAGAGGAGUAGGGUAGAAAUACUUGCUUCUAAAUUGCGAGAGAAGGUAGAAGUACUUGCCUUAACUCCAAAGUUUAGCUCAGAUUCCUAGUAACACUAUAUACCGCAUAAUCAUUCCUUUCUGCCAGCUUCUGACACACUUUUAUCUAUAACAAAUCUCCGUCCUACUUCAACUUGUAACAUUCUGCUUGGCUAUUUCUGAAUACCCCUUUCAAUCACUUCUCGAUUAAUGCCUCGGUCAAUGUCUUCAAUUCUAUACGAUGAUAAAAUAGUAUUUCAGUCGUCGGAUUAGACAUAUUGACUAACCCUGAAUUGCAUUAAGACCUAUAUAUAUAUCUACCCUUCGCAUAUACAUACCACAGUCACAUAAACACAUAGCACAUAGUUGUACAAACAACCCUUUUUAUAGGCAUUAAAUCCAUAUAAUUUCUAACGAAAAUUCGGCAGCAUCUCCUCUGUUUAUAAGCUUAUCCACCUGUUUGCAAUGCCAACAACCAACCAAUACUAUUGCUAACACAUGAAUUAUUAAUAUAAAAAGAUCCCUUGACUUGCAGUAAACACAUAAGAAAAUCUGUCUUGACUUGUAGUAAACAUAUAAUAAAAUCUUUUAGCAGGAUUGCUAACUUGUUAUACGCAAAACACUUUUAAUUAGAUAUACAAGGUUAACCGAGCCAAUCAAUGUAAUAAUCAAUCAUAUGCAAUUAGUCAAGUAUAACCUCAUACUAUGCACUAGCAAAGAAAGAAAAAUAGAACAAAUAGUUCAAACAGCCCUCGGUCUAUGAUUUUUAAUAAAUUGAAAAUUUAUCUUUUUAAUACGAAAUUUUUAUGAGACACUCCUAAAUAUUAUUCCAACCUACAGUAAAAUUUUCAGAAAGAAAAUCCAAGUUUAAAGCUGUAAAACAGAGCCUGGAACAGGACAACCCUGCCCAGAAUUUUCAGCACCAUACUAUACUAAAACGGUCAUAUCUCCUAGCUCGCUAAUCGAAUCGAUUCGGUUCUUUCGCGCACAUAAACUAGACUCUAAGGAGCACAUAACCACACAAAUAUUAAGCAUAUAAUUCAACUCUAUGAUCCCAGAGUUGUAAUUCAAAACAGAUCAACAGCAAUCUAGAAUUCAACCGAAUAUGUGUAAAUCAAAAUUUUUUUUUUAGCCCAAUACUUAAACUCUUAAAACACCACUUUGAAAACAUUUACAAAAAAUCUCAGACCUUAAAGCUUGAAUACUCAGUUAUAUAUUCCCAUAAUUCAAGUACCCAAGUCAUCCGAUUACACUACUAGUUGGCGCACUAUUUAUAAUCAACUUACAACAACCAGUUCAAAUAUCAAUUAAGCACACAAUUCAAUCAUACAAUUACUAACACCAAUCUCAAUCUCAGAAAUUCAAUCAACCUUCAAUUACAAGCAUAUAAUCAGUUUAUAUACAUACAAACACAUAUAAAUCAGAUUAUACACACAUAAAUCAGAUUAUACACGUAUAAACACCGUUCACCCGAUUAUAAUUUCGAUUAUCCGACAUGUAAAUACACGCAUAUAUAUACACUGAUUCAACAAGGGAAACUAAACUUUAUACCCAUUGAUAUUCGAAUAGCAGGUGCGAUGGAGUGACUCGCCAAAACACAGGCGGCGACUCAAGCUCGGCGGCGGUAAUCCGGCCAGAGAUUGGCGGCCGUGGUUGAGGAAAGAAGAAAGAGCAAAUAGCGGAGAGAUUGCUUUUUGUGGAAAAAGAAAGAACAAGGGUAAAAGGAAUGGAGGAGAAAUACGCGAGAGAGAGUGAGAACGGGAGAUUUAAAGGAAUGAGAGGGGUGAGAUUUGUUUUGUAAUAAAGCGAGGAAGGUCGGCAAAACCAGGGCGGUGAUGAAAAGGGUACGUGGUUAAGUCUUGUACUUCCACGUGCCUUUAAUAAUCUGAAUAAACAAUUGACUCGGACCCGCUUUUAACUAAAUUAUCGGAAUAUCUCGCUAUUUUAUAAUCUAGGAAACAUCAUCAAAAUAAUUUUAUAAAUCCCGGACUAUCAUAAAACUAAUCAAAUAAAAGUUUCGGGAUUUAUAGAGCAUUUUCAAAAUGUAUACAAAAUUUAGAAGUUAGUUGCGUUCAGAAACUAAUUAAAAAUCAUGUUCUUAUAGAAAUUAGAUUUUUAAUAUUUUAAAAACUCCUAAAAUAUUUAUGUUCACUAUCGAGCAAUUAAAAUAAUUUUUCAAAUUAUCUUUAUGUUUUUAUAAAAAUAAAGAUCCAUUUAAAAGAGUAACAAAUUUAAUAAAUUAAUAUAAUAAUAUUAGAAGUGGAAAUAAAUGCACACACAGACAUAAUCUUAAACAAAUAAUAAUUCAAUUAAAUCUCGUAACAGAUAAUUGCACGAUUGAUAGAUAUUUCCUAUAACCCCAAAGACCAGGAAUAUAAUUAAAACAAAUAAGUUUUAUAAAUUAUCAAACUAGAAUAAAAUAUUGAAUUUUAUUUCUCAUUUUUCUGGAAAAAUUACAAAUAAAAAUAAUAGAAUAAUUCCUGAAAAUCCAGGUUGUCACAAUCUACCCCCCUUAAAAGGAUUCUGUCCUCGGAAUCAGCGAAAAGAAAACUAGAGCGUAUGAUCUCUUUAAUACGUGAUUCUCCCUUCUGAUAUAAAAUUCUCCUAAUUAUUUCCGUAUAUCUGCAUCAUCAUCCUCGUUUCCUUAUGUUGCUUCGUGCUACAAAGGCUUAAUUUAUCUUAACAACUUAGUUGGCAUACCUUUAACUAUUAAAAAUUACAAGAAUUUUGGAGAUUGAAAUAUGAAGAUUACAUCUACCGAAGCAAAUGUUACGUGAUUGAAAUUGAAGAGUAACUGAGAGAUCAACAUGAUCUAAAGAACUCGGUGUUGCGUGUCUAAAUUAAGACACUACUAAAGGUAGUUAACCUUCUUGUAAUGUACAACACACACAAGUGAUGGCGUCCCAUCCAACUCCUAUCACACAGACCGGUAGUCCUUGUGUCCCCUAUAGGUAGGGUUGUUCAUCUCAGUUAGAGUUGAAUAAUAUGAUAGAAAUUCAAAAUCAACCAAAAAUGAUUGACUUUUUGAUGAAUGAAUCUUUGAUGCGCACCUUGGGUUAAAAAAAUUGAAUAAGUUCCAAAGGUGCUAGUUUUGAUGAAAAGAUUAGUUAGAAAUGAUGAAAUAGACACAAGCAUCAUUUUAUAACUCAGGAGAGAAAAAUAUAGUAUUUAUUAAAUGUCUCUAGGAAAAAGAUGUCAAAACAAUUCAUUGAUGAAGAAAGUAAUCAAUAUAAUCAAUAAAAGAGAAAGGUAUUGCCAAGAUUCUACAAGAUAUGCUGCUCUGAUGGAUCAUUAUUCGAUUCUAAUCUUCUUCUAUUUUUCAGCGGUCGAUGAUGCUCAAUAACGUAAAUUAUCGUUGACUCACAAUGGUCUGUGAAGAUCUCAUUAUAAAUAUCCAUGAUCGUCAGAAGUCCUACUCAGCUUCGCAUAGUCCGAAAUAUUAUCGAGAUUCGUAUAAUCAUCACCACUGAGUGUUGACGUCUUAACUUACUCACAAGUACCAUAUCCACUAAUUUACACGAGCUCUAAAUAACUUUAACGUUCAUUAUUUAACUAUAUACGGAACUUCUUACUUGACCCUACAAGUUUCAUAUUCUUGUAUUAGCUCUAAUGCUCACUACUUCACUAUAUACAAAGCUUUAAAUUCAGACCUGCUAACACCUAUAUUCUUUCACCAAUUCUAUAUAUCUUUAACAAGAAUCAAAGAUAACUCCCCAAAUAUUAUUCAAAAAUUGGCAGACACUACAAAGAUUACUCUAGACUAUGUGAGAAUCUAUACUAGUCCAGCCUCAAUUGGUUCCCAUUAUAAAGUUCACCUAUUGGUUCCCAUUAUAAAGUUCACCUAAUAGAUGUAUCUUUCAUCCUUCAAAUGGUUUUGAAUCUAAAUCCACCAAAAGAAAUCUUAUCCACCUACUAUGAGUUUCUAACUCAAUUAACCUGGUGUUAAGAAAUUUUGAUCCAUACUAAAAACACAUAAAGUUACUCUUCCAAUUUAUCUCUAUCUUGGUGACGAGGUACUAUGAAAUUAUUAGGGACGGUCUAGACUCAACAAGUGAAUCUAUUUGGUUGCUAGUAUUGGUACUAAAUACUCAAUAUAAUAGAAACUGGUGGAGGCCUGCUCUUUCUUCCUUGAGAUAUAAACUUGCUAGUUCUGAAACAGAAAACCUAUCAUACACACUAUGAUAUACUCAAGGUCAAUACUAUAUGUGAAUCUUGGUUCUAUUGACACAUGCUAUUCCAAAUAGCUCUAGACUACCUCUAUGUGAGGUUACACUUAACGCACCUUUUUAUUAAACCUGAUAUUACCACCUAUAUUCUGAUUUCAAUAACUUAUAACCUGCGGCUCUGAUACCAACUGUGACACCCUCAGAUCCGGGGGUCUGGAUCUGGUGCCACGUGUAAAUAAAAAUAAUUUAAAACCUGUAGUUUUGAGCCACUGAAAGAAAAACAAUUUAAAACCUGUAUUUUUGGAAGAAAGUAAAAACAAGUAUUUCUAAACCUGGAUAUUAUUAUUUUUUUUUUUUUUAAAAGAAGGUCUUUAAUUCAAAAUCAAUUUCACCCCCUGAAAACAGGAUCGCACACAGGCUACAGCAUUGAAAUCAGAAACUAAAACUAUAAAAUCUUAUUUACAAAUUAAACAACAUUAUCAGCUAAACCUCGAUAAGAAGAGUAGCUGAUAACCAAAUAAACAAAUCUAAUUUCCAACUGAAUUGAAUUGCAGAACUCCAACUGCAUCUAGUCUUAAUGACAUCGUCCUAAAUACUCUACCUGUCCAUCUGCUUGAAACUCAACCACUUGCAAUCCUUGCCUAGUCUUAAGUGAAUCAUCUUUAUUCCUAGCUGAAAAGGGUUAGAAGGAAUAGCAAGAAUGAGCAAUAAUGCUCAGCAAGAAUAACAAAAUGAAAUUGAUAUUUGUUGUACAGCAAUGCCAUAAUAAAGAAGUGAAAAUAUUUAAAACUGCAGAAAUGAAUGUAUAAGCAAAUAUCUCUUGAAGGCAGGGUAACUUCUUUUUAAACUAUUCACAAUUUUAUUGGGCUUUAAAAAUAAUUGGACACCUGGCUAUAACAGAUGAUCAGUCAUGCUAUAGUCCAUAAACCAAGCUUAUUCAGCAAGGUUGACAAAUAUUACGAAUUCCGGUAAUCCGGGCUUAAGGAGCCACCUUUCACGCUGGGCCGGUGCCCGAGCCUCUUACGCAAAAACAACCCAAUAGUUUAAUUUUUAAAACAAUCUGCAGUUCCAUCAUGUAAUUCAAGAGCCAGAAUAACAUUUUGUUAAAACAAUUUCUUUAUGCAUAUCAUAGUGUAGAGUUGAUACCAAAAGUGUUAUCCGUUCAACCAAAAAGUUUAAAAGUACUAGAUAUGCUUCACAAGAAAGUAAUUGCAAAUAAUUUGAAUCAUGAUAUAAAGAAGGUUUUAGUAUCUAUAGGUACUAGAGGAGUAGGGUAGAAAUACUUGCUUCUAAAUUGCGAGAGAAGGUAGAAGUACUUGCCUUAACUCCAAAGUUUAGCUCAGAUUCCUAGUAACACUAUAUACCGCAUAAUCAUUCCUUUCUGCCAGCUUCUGACACACUUUUAUCUAUAACAAAUCUCCGUCCUACUUCAACUUGUAACAUUCUGCUUGGCUAUUUCUGAAUACCCCUUUCAAUCACUUCUCGAUUAAUGCCUCGGUCAAUGUCUUCAAUUCUAUACGAUGAUAAAAUAGUAUUUCAGUCGUCGGAUUAGACAUAUUGACUAACCCUGAAUUGCAUUAAGACCUAUAUAUAUAUCUACCCUUCGCAUAUACAUACCAC